GAUGAAGAACGUAGCUAAAUGCGAUAAGUAAUGUGAAUUGCAGAAUUCAGUGAAUCAUCGAAUCUUUGAACGCACAUUGCGCCCCUUGGUAUUCCGAGGGGCAUGCCUGUUCGAGCGUCAUAUUAACCACUCCCGCUUGCGGGGUCUUGGGCUUCGCCUCCGGGCGGGCCUUAAAAUCAGUGGCGGUGCCGUCGGGCUCUACGCGUAGUAAAUUUUCUCGCGAUAGGGUCCCGGUGGAUGCUUGCCAACAACCCCCAACUUCUUAAGGUUGACCUCGGAUCAGGUAGGGAUACCCGCUGAACUUAAGCAUAUCAAUAAGCGGAGGA
This 326-nucleotide unclassified non-coding RNA is filed under the name soil metagenome. RNAcentral's name for it is "partial contains 5.8S ribosomal RNA, internal transcribed spacer 2, and large subunit ribosomal RNA". The stretch from base 1 to 120 matches the Rfam family "5.8S ribosomal RNA", at positions 35 to 154 of the family's 154-position model. The record is from RNAcentral.